ACGCUCGACACCUACGGGAGCAGCAGUGGGGAAUAUUGGGCAAUGGGCGCAAGCCUGACCCAGCAACGCCGCGUGAAGGAAGAAGGCCCUCGGGUUGUAAACUUCUUUUAACAGGGACGAAGUAAGUGACGGUACCUGUUGAAUAAGCCACGGCUAACUACGUGUCAGCAGCCGCGGUAAUCUGAGCGGGCUGGCAAGGC
This 200-nucleotide ribosomal RNA is filed under the name uncultured bacterium. RNAcentral describes it as "partial 16S ribosomal RNA". It matches the Rfam family "Bacterial small subunit ribosomal RNA", at positions 328 to 539 of the family's 1533-position model. The record is from RNAcentral.